This is a non-coding RNA of Nitzschia inconspicua, 72 nucleotides long. The record is from the annotation of a GenBank genome assembly. Lineage: Eukaryota; Bacillariophyta; Bacillariophyceae; Bacillariales; Bacillariaceae.
GGCCGCGUGGCUCAAUGGUAGAGCAUCUGUCUUCGGAACAGAAGGUUGAGGGUUCGAGCCCCUCCGUGGUCA